AAUUUUCACAUGGAUUUAUUAAAAAAGCUUUUCCUUCAAGACAGAGAAAAAAAAAGUCAGACAUUUUGGGCAUAAACACGUCUUUCUGGAAAUCUUGGGUGGUUCGCUCUGAAAUCUGCGAACACCCACUCCUCCCUACUGUCUAGAGCAGAGAGGCCACGGGGGUGUUUCAGUGCACUUUAACAACCGCAUCUGCAGGGGCGACAGCACACAAGGCGCACCCUGAGAGCUGCUCGCCUCCUAGCAUAUAACUAAUUGUUCCAAAAAGCACCAAAAUAAUCAGUAAAUGACAACUGUGCGUGAUUUUGUGAUCGGUUUUGUGGCAUUACGUUGUCACCAAGGCAUCAUUAAAGCAGUGGUAUUUGGGACGUGAGCAUGUUCAAGUUCACGGUGACUCCAUUUAGCACAACCCUUUCCCUUCUCCUCUUCCUCCCCUUAGACAGAAAACUGGGGAGGAAAAUUUGCAGCUCCCAGCUCCUUCCUUUUCUGGGGGGAAUGAUGGGGACUGAUGCUCUUGCCAUGGAAAUAGCUCCAAUAUGAAUGCUGGGCACCUCCCUUUGAGCUCUGCCAGCAUUGCUAACUCACUUUGGCCAGCAGUCUGGCUGCAAACAGGAGUCAAGGGCUGAUGCCUCCAGAGGUUUACGCAGCCCAGUGCUGGAGAUCCUGAGGCCACAACUACACCUUUGCCACUCGCUGCCCCGCAGCACUGGCGUGCCUUCUGCACCUGCCCCUGCUUCACAGAAAAGCUGUUUUAGAGCCUGACAAAUUCAGCAGUGUUGUUGCGUUUCUCAUCCCUCUCCCUGUAAUAUCUAGUUGCCGUAGUUACCUCGUGUAUCUAAGGCAACCAGAUGUUACAGACGGAGCACUGAAAUAGCAUCAACAAGUGUAAGAAUCACAAGUGCUUUAACUAGCUGGCCCGGGUUAAGCCGCCGGGGGCGGUUUCCCUCCCAGCUCUGUCCUGUGCCACCUCCUCUGACAAAACACGAUGGCCCAAAGCCCCACCCAGCCUGGCCUUAAAACCUCCAGGGAUGGGGCAUCCACAGCUUCUCCGGGCAGCCUGUGCCAGGGCCUCACAGAGCAGGUUGCCCCGAGAAGUUGUGGAUGCCCCAUCCCCGGAAAUGAUCAAGGCCAGGCUGAACAGCAAAGAAUUAGUAGCUGCUCCAAGCCACCCCAAAAGGCAAAGAACUCAGGCGUGGAAGAGUGCAUGGGAGGCGCUCAGAAGCACACCAAUGUGCUGCAAGAAAUAAGAAAGACAACGACUACACCUGCACCAGAACAGCUACUCUGGAGGCCUCGAUCAAUGCCUUGGCUGCUGCAUAAAUACAGAGAAAGGCUCAUUCGUGGCAGGACGAGUUUCCCACAGAUGGUAAACAGAUGUCUCAGGUGUAUGGCAGAAGAAAAGGAAGCCCUUGAAUGGGAACCUCAGGCAAACACACUAGUCUGCACGAGUCCUGAGCCGACCAGCUCUGGAAACAGCAUCACUGCCCAUCUUGGAAACACUCCAGACAUUAUCCAUGUUGUCCUUUAGGCAGCCUGGCUUCUACAGAUGAUGUCUUCCCUUGCAGCAGGCAAUCCUGGGACCUCUGGGGAAGGGACAUGAAGCAACCUCGUUUGGCCCAUGUGGCAGGACCAGAAGGGGUACAGCGACAGGAGUCAAUGGAGGCCCCUGAGAGUUGCAAGGGCUGGUCACCACUCUGCGUAGGCAUGCAUUCGAAUAAACGCUACCGGCCCUCUUCA
Long non-coding RNA from Anser brachyrhynchus (Pink-footed goose), 1737 nucleotides. Lineage: Eukaryota; Metazoa; Chordata; Aves; Anseriformes; Anatidae. The record is from Ensembl.